Molecule: ribosomal RNA, 561 nt
Filed under: Aspergillus flavus
Lineage: Eukaryota; Fungi; Ascomycota; Eurotiomycetes; Eurotiales; Aspergillaceae
Description: LSU rRNA
Rfam family: Eukaryotic large subunit ribosomal RNA
Source: RNAcentral
GCGGAGGAAAAGAAACCCACCGGGAUUGCCUCAGUAACGGCGAGUGAAGCGGCAAGAGCUCAAAUUUGAAAGCUGGCUCCUUCGGGGUCCGCAUUGUAAUUUGCAGAGGAUGCUUCGGGUGCGGCCCCUGUCUAAGUGCCCUGGAACGGGCCGUCAGAGAGGGUGAGAAUCCCGUCUGGGAUGGGGUGUCCGCGCCCGUGUGAAGCUCCUUCGACGAGUCGAGUUGUUUGGGAAUGCAGCUCUAAAUGGGUGGUAAAUUUCAUCUAAAGCUAAAUACUGGCCGGAGACCGAUAGCGCACAAGUAGAGUGAUCGAAAGAUGAAAAGCACUUUGAAAAGAGAGUUAAAAAGCACGUGAAAUUGUUGAAAGGGAAGCGCUUGCGACCAGACUCGCCUCCGGGGUUCAGCCGGCAUUCGUGCCGGUGUACUUCCCUGGGGGCGGGCCAGCGUCGGUUUGGGCGGCCGGUCAAAGGCUCCCGGAAUGUAGUGCCCUCCGGGGCACCUUAUAGCCGGGAGUGCAAUGCGGCCAGCCUGGACCGAGGAACGCGCUUCGGCACGGACGC